This is a non-coding RNA of Vicia faba (fava bean), 207 nucleotides long. The record is from the annotation of a GenBank genome assembly. NCBI's taxonomy places the organism in Eukaryota, Viridiplantae, Streptophyta, Magnoliopsida, Fabales, Fabaceae.
AAUCCUAAAAAAAAUGUAACAAAAAUAAAAUAUAACACUUCUCUCACUCUAGUCCUCAUCACGCCUCUCUCAGCACUAGCUUUUCUCUGUCCUCACCGUCUCGCUUCAUAUAUAGCCCGCCUCUAUCACGCCGUCGCCUCGCCUCUGUGUCGUCUCUGGUUGACUCAAACCCUAGUUCUUACUUCUCCCCGCCACAAGAAAACAAAG